AUCCGCCCGCCUCGGCCUCCCAAAGUGCUGGGAUUCCAGGUGUGAGCCACCGCACCCAGCCAGUGGUUCACAUCUUUGUCUCCCACUGUCAGGAAAGGUAUGGGGAGGAGCUGUGAAAAGAAAUGGGUGGCCACUGGGUAAGUAACUGGGGACCCAGGGAAAAUCCUGUUACUCCCAUGACUCGCCCACAUGGUCCUGAGCCAGUCACUUUACCACUCUGUGCCUCAGUUUCCUCAAGACUCAGUUGAGGGUUGGGGAGUAUAUCCAUUCAUUCUUCUGACCUAUAUUGACUGAGUACCUACAUGUGCCAGGCACUGUGCCAAGUUAUAACAGUCAACAAGGCACACAAAACCUCGCCCUCAGGGAGCUGACAUUGCCAAGAACCCCUCAAAUCUACCCAGUGACCCAGACUGAGGGCAGAUGUCACCCCUGGCCUUGCUUGCAAUGAUCAUGACGCACAGUGAGCACCGUGGCCUCGUUGCAUAUUCAGACAGAUGACAGCCUGACAUGGAAGCUGAGGAUCUAAUCAGUGGCAUCCACAUGGUAACAGGAAGGAAGGAGCCACUGUGGGUCCUUGAGCAGGAGCACGGAGAUAUCAGUGCAAAACUUCAGAAGGGCAAUUCCAGUGGCAAUCAAUAGAAAAAGACCUUUUUACUGCAUGUCACCCUGCCCCUUAGGUGAGUCAAAUUAAGGCAAAUAGCCGAGGCCAGGCCACCCUGUCUGUCCCCUGUUAUAUUUUUGGUUUUGGUUUGUUUAUAGCUGAGUUAUUCCCUAGUGGUGGCAGUGAUGAUUGGGAAUUUGGCUUUCUGAUCUGACCAUUUGGUGACUUCUGGGAAUGAAUGAACGGAUGUUGGCAGAGAACAGCAGGAGUCAGGCAUGUUAUCCUGUGUCUCUUGGAUCUCUUGCCCUGUGGCUAACGGUGUGAAAAUGAAGCAUUAAGCUCCCUCUGUGGCUGCAGUCAGACUCCUGGGGUCUGCCUGAGUCACUGUAUUUUCAGAAUGACUUCAAGUGUAAAGGAUUUUUUUUACCUGAACAAGAUGAUGAGAAGUUUCUCCAUCUGCACCACCUGCUUCCUGAGUGUGCUUCAGACCAUAAUCAUCAGCCCCAGAAGCUCUUGGUUGGAACAAUGCUGCUUUCAAGUGCAUACAGAGUGGUCCUUUUGUUCAGGCACCAGAAGAAAUUCUGAUACUUUCACAGCACCAGCCUCUCCCCAAGACCUUCCCCAGAGAAAAGUGCCACUCAGACCAUCCUGCUGCUAGUGAGUUUCUUUGUGGUCAUCUACUGGGUCGAUUUCAUCAUCUCAUGCACCUCAACCUCGCUAUGGGCAUAUGACCCUGUUGUCCUGGGUGUCCAGAGGCUUGUCAGUCUUUUGGUGCUACUCAGAUCUGAUAAAAGGAUAAUCAUUGUGACACAAACUGUGAGACAGAGGGUUAACAAGUUAUUUUUAUUGAAAAUAGAUUAUUCUGUCACCAGUUAAAUUACAUAAGUAGUACAGAACUUGCUAUUUAAUUUAACUUAAAUGUAUGGAUUUACACUUUCAAUAUGUCUAAAUACUUUUGAAUCAAAUGCUGCCAAUUCUCUGUGGGUUUUUUUUAGUUUAACAUACAUGAUGGAUAGAUACUCCCAUAUGUUUACAAGUGUCUUCUUUUUCAUUUUGAUUUUCAGGCCUUAAUACAGAGAACAUUUUUCUUUCUUUUUGAAGUAUAAUAUUAAGAAUAUCCUCCUGGUAAUAUAAUCUCUCUGUCUUCGUAUUUUUGAGAAUGUUUUAUUUUUAUUUAUUAAAGAUAUUUGACUAAAUAUUAAAUUCUUACACUCAAUAUUUACUUCUCCUUGUUCUGGCUUCUAUCAAGGCUGUGUGGAUGGUGCCUACAAAUUUGUGGCUUACCUCUGUUUUUUAUCUCCCUAAUUUUAAGAUUUUUCUUUCUUUUUAGUGUUAUACAGCUUGACUAUUAUUUCUGUAUAAAUGAUCACCUGUAUUUACCUUUUUUUUGAAAACUAUGUACUUCUGAAUUCGAGAAUUUUUUCUGGCUUUUAAUUUUACAAAAAAUUAUUUCUUUCUAAAAUUACAUUUGUGUCUUAUUCUUUGUAUGUAUUUCAGUGAAACAACUGAAUAUACUUUAUUCCUUCUAAUCUUUGUCUUUAUAGAUCUAUAAAUAUAUUUACAUCUUAUAUCACUUUACUUUUAUUAGCAUCGAUUUUCUCUCCUUAAUCUUCCAGUGCACUAUUUAUCUCAUUAGCUUAUUCUAAGUUAAUAGUUUCCCAAUACAAUGUAUAUUGAAUUUAUAGAUUUUUAUUUCUCAUUUAUUCAAUUUACAGUUAGCUCUUUCCAUGGAUGCUCUUCAAUUUUUAAGUUUCUUCCUCUUUAAACACUAUUUUUGUCUCUUAUUUUAUCACUGAAUUGAUGUAAACAUUUUAAAUACAAUUCCAAUUAUUAUUAAUUUAUGUAGCAUCCAAUUUCUUCUUACUCUAAAUUGUGGUAGCUUAUUUUGUGUGUGUGUGUACUUCAUAACUUCUUAUAAUUUAGCUGUCAUGAUUGGGAGACCUUUCCCUGUAAAUGUCUUCAAUCAGUAUAUUUGUUUGUUCUACUUAACCUGGCACAAUAUUAUCAAUUUUGCCUUGUGAUCAGCCAUUCGCUUCUCACGUUGAUAAAGCCUUUGAAUCUUUUCUUGACUCAUUUGUGUUCCUGGAAAGUUCUGAUAUUUUUCCUUUCAGCCCCAUUGGGCAUUCUAGAGAUUUUUGUAACUUUUGAUGCACAAACUUUCACACUGCACACAUAAAAUAUUUUAGUUAUGUAAUGCUACCACACAUCAGCAUCUUAUGAGAAAUCUUGAGUCUCUUUACUUGAAGCACCCCCUCUCCAAUAUACAGUAUGAUACACUGAUGUGCAGAAUGUGAUUAGUUUAUUAAUCAUAUGUGAAAAUAUUAGUAGCUACAUAUGGCCAGAAUAGAUUUUUCUCUCUACAAAUGUAAGUUAGUGUUGAUAGAAUUUGUUAUGCGAUAUUUGGUUCUUUGGUUUCAGUCUCAAUGCUUUCUUCUUGGCAUUUCAUUGACUCUGUAAAUUAACCUCAGCAUCAAUUUUCUUUUAAAUUCAACAGUUAUUCAAAUUGAUCGAAAAUUAAACUUGUAUGUAGCUAGUUA
This is a long non-coding RNA of Homo sapiens (human), 3138 nucleotides long. RefSeq lists it as uncharacterized. The transcript is spliced from 3 exons. NCBI's taxonomy places the organism in Eukaryota, Metazoa, Chordata, Mammalia, Primates, Hominidae. The record is from RefSeq and is a predicted model, not a curated record.